UUCUCCCUUUAAGACGGAGUCUCACUCUAUUGCCUAGGCUGGAGUGCAGUGGUGCAGUCUCGGCUCAUUGCAAGCUCCUCCUCUGGGGUUCAUGCCAUUCUCCUGCCUCAGCCUCCCAAGUAGCUGGGACUACAGGCGCCCGCCACCACACCCGGCUAAUUUUUUGUAUUUUUAGUAGAGAUGGGGUUUCAUCAUGUUAGCCAGGAUGGUCUCCAUCUCCAAGGGCAGGCCUUUCUAAGAAUAGAGUGUUUUGGCAUACUUCAGUAUUGCUCAUUUUCCCCUCCCCCUGCAGGUAGCACCAGGAAAUUUUUCUCCAAUAUUUAUUAUGGAAACCAGGUUGAGGUCCUAGAGGUAAAUCUCACACUGUUGUGGGAGACCCUCAUAUGACUGGAUUCAUCUAGAGUUUUUAACUGUCGGACUUAUCCACACUGAGCCCCCCAAAAUGGAUCAAUUACAAUUAAUAUUUUGCUAACCCACCAUGGCACUGGUCCCCAUGGUGGUUUCUGCCCCAGUAUGCCCUUCUUUCCUGUGUUCACUUGUCUAUCGCUUCCGUCUUGAGGGCAGCAAUUUGCCCUAUGUCCUCACUGCUCUUAGGCAACCAAAAAGUGUUCUGAUUUUUUGGUCUGUUUGGUUUUUACUUGUUGUUAGGUUAGAGUGGCAACAUCUAAGCCCCUUAUAUACAGAACUAGAAAGUGGAAGUUCUUUGCAAACAUAUUUAUUGUUGCUUUUUACUGACUCUGACCUGAGCAGGCUGGGUCCUAUCUUUCUGCAUGUAGAUGUAGCAAUGGAGAAUUUUGUUGUUGUUGUAGUUGUUUUGUUUGCUUUAAUAAAAAUAAAUAACUUCCUGAAUGAAAUCUGAGUAGAAAAUUAAUAGAUUAUUCAGUAAAAACAUUUAUUCUGUAAUAUUAUAAGACUUUCUUUUGCUCAUUUAUGUCUUUUUUGUUUGUUUUUGCUUCUGAUUUUCAGGAUAAAAUGGUUUCUGUGGCUUUGUACCGAACAACUGAUGCAUUAAAUCACACCGGCAAAGGGUGUCUUGUGUAGAAUAAAAGCUUACCUUUCCAGAAAGGGAUUCUUACACUAACCAAUUUUUCAUGUCGUGGCUUCAGUGACCAAUUCAUUCUCUAGCAGAACUAUAGUGCUGGUCCACAGAGUAGCAGUCCACAUUACAACCUUUUGGUCACUUUGAAAUACUCUUAUCUGCUUCAGAUAAAUUAGUUUGGGUUCUAUUUGGAGGGGAAAAAUGGAGUUUAUGGAAUCUCAAGCUCAUUCCCAUCUUGUCAUUCCAUGAUAAAUCAUGUUGGGUACAAAGCCAAUUGUCCCUUGAUGGCAAAUAAAAAAUUGCUCUAUAAAUAUAUCAGAGCCAUACAUUUAUUCCUCCUGGUAAAUGUUUGCUUUUUUUUUUUUAACUCAGUCUCAAUGUAGAUACCUUUCAGAUAUGUAAAACAACUUGGAUGCCUGCGAUAGCUAAAAAUAAAAAAAAAAAA
This 1484-nucleotide long non-coding RNA is filed under the name Macaca fascicularis (crab-eating macaque). RNAcentral describes it as "lncRNA (ENSMFAG00000061555.1)". Lineage: Eukaryota; Metazoa; Chordata; Mammalia; Primates; Cercopithecidae. The record is from RNAcentral.